Molecule: ribosomal RNA, 431 nt
Filed under: uncultured bacterium
Lineage: Bacteria
Description: partial 16S ribosomal RNA
Rfam family: Bacterial small subunit ribosomal RNA
Source: RNAcentral
AACGAACGCUGGCGGCAGGCUUAACACAUGCAAGUCGAGCGCCCCGCAAGGGGAGCGGCAGACGGGUGAGUAACGCGUGGGAACGUACCCUUAUCUUCGGGAUAGCUCCGGGAAACUGGAAUUAAUACCGAAUGUGCCCUUUGGGGGGAAGGUUUAUCGGAUUAGGAUCGGCCCGCGUUGGAUUAGCUGGUUGGUGGGGUAAAGGCCUACCAAGGCGACGAUCCAUAGCUGGUCUGAGAGGAUGAUCAGCCACAUUGGGACUGAGACACGGCCCAAACUCCUACGGGAGGCAGCAGUGGGGAGUAUUAGGCGAUGGACGCAAGCCUGAUCCAGCCACGCCGCGUGAGUGAUGAAGGCCUUAGGGUUGUAAAGCUCUUUGACCCGAGAAGAUAAUGACGGUAUCCGGAGAAGAAGCCCCGGCUAACUUCGUG